UUAGGAAUCUUCCGCAAUGGGCGAAAGCCUGACGGAGCGAUACCGCUUGAAGGAGGAAGCCCUUCGGGGUGUAAACUUCUGAACUGGGGACGAUAAUGACGGUACCCAGGUAAUAGCACCGGCUAACUCCGUGCCAGCAGCCGCGGUAAUACGGAGGGUGCGAGCGUUACCCGGAUUUACUGGGUGUAAAGGGCGUGUAGGCGGUCUUGCAAGUCCGGUGCUAAAGACCGGGGCUCAACCCCGGGGGGG
This 249-nucleotide ribosomal RNA is filed under the name uncultured Meiothermus sp. Its description in RNAcentral is "partial 16S ribosomal RNA". It matches the Rfam family "Bacterial small subunit ribosomal RNA", at positions 355 to 623 of the family's 1533-position model. The record is from RNAcentral. Lineage: Bacteria; Thermotogati; Deinococcota; Deinococci; Thermales; Thermaceae.